This is a long non-coding RNA of Neopelma chrysocephalum (saffron-crested tyrant-manakin), 388 nucleotides long. RefSeq lists it as uncharacterized. The transcript has 4 exons. NCBI's taxonomy places the organism in Eukaryota, Metazoa, Chordata, Aves, Passeriformes, Pipridae. The record is from RefSeq and is a predicted model, not a curated record.
CUUACCAAGUAACCAUUACGAGCGAUGGAGCCCUGCCUUUCUGAGGAUGGUUGAACACCUGCCUGCCAAAAGGAAGUGGGUUGAGUGAGUUAAGUGUGUCUGUGUGGUGCUUAGCCGCUAGCUGGAGUUAAACUCUGACAUCACCCUUAUGCAUAAACUGCCUGGCACUUAACAGGAUGAGAGAGCUUGAUCCUCCCCAGUCCAGGAGGUUGAAUAUUUUUUUCCCUUUGAAAAUUAUCUGCCAGUUGAAUGCAAGAGUAGCUGAUUCAUGGAAAUGCAAAAUCUGGUCCUAGCAGUUUUGUACCUUUCCCAAAGUGCAGCCACACAGAUCCAAGACAGAAUAAUACUGAGAAAAGAAGCGAAAAUGAAGAUAAUAGGAGUAUUAUCU